GUCGGGAUUGCAGGAGGUGCAGGGCGUCACGGGGGGCCGGGUGGUCUCCGUGUUGUCGUGGAUGUGUUCUGGAAGGACGCCGCGCUGCUGGAGGAGAACUCUGGGAGCGGAGGAGCAGAUGUCCACGUGUGGCUUGGCCGACUCUGGAUCAGGCACGCAGUCUGGAUGGAUGGAAAUGAAGUCUGCUGCCUGCUCUCUGUCCAGCGUGAAGCAGCACACCCCCACGGACGGCCCCACCGCCACCACGAUGUCGCCGUACCGACAACCAAAAUUCGUCACCAUGGCGUCCACGGUUGCCGUGGCCACGCCCAUCAAGGUCCCUCUCCAACCUGGGAAUUGACGUCGAGUCACAUGAUCAACAACAGGAUGUUGCCACUGGCUCAAACUAAGAAGAAGACGACGACGACAGGAAGAAGGUGAUAUUGGAACAGCAAGUUUCUUAAUGGUGGGGAAAAAAAAAGAUUUUGUACAGUGAUAUCAAUGUCUGAUACUAAAGAGGUAGUGUUACGUAAAACUGAAUUUUUCGAGCUUUACUUCAUGUUAUAAUGUUUUUCACCUCAUCAAAAACUUACCUUGAGUGUUGCCUUGAUUCUUUCAAGCGUGUUUCAGAAAUCCCUUAAUCGCCCAUGGCAACCAUUCAGUUGUGCAAAAUGCCUCGGUGGACCUGGCCCCGCCUUCUAGCCCCAGCUCCUCCUCCUCUGAGCUUCUGCUUCACAGAGCAGUCCCCCUCCUCCCUUUCAUUCAGCUCCUUCAGACUAGCCAGCAGCAAUUAGCAAACACCUGGUGAUGUCAGAUGUGCAUCAUCUGACAUCAUUAUAGGAGCUACUUCUCUUGUUAAAGGGUUAAUAGAGGAGCCAUGUUGUGAUGACUUCCUUAAGGCGGAGUUUCAGAAAAACUAGGAGCUUCUUAAAGGGACAGAGGCCCAAUUUCAAGGUGUUAAAUUCCAAAGUUUUUCAAGUCACAUUUGAUAUGUAUAUAGCCUUUUUAUAAUAACUGAUGGUAACAUUA
Xiphophorus couchianus (Monterrey platyfish) is the source of this 1008-nucleotide long non-coding RNA. RefSeq lists it as uncharacterized. The record is from RefSeq and is a predicted model, not a curated record. Lineage: Eukaryota; Metazoa; Chordata; Actinopteri; Cyprinodontiformes; Poeciliidae. The transcript is spliced from 3 exons.